This 641-nucleotide long non-coding RNA is filed under the name Olea europaea subsp. europaea. The record is from RNAcentral. Lineage: Eukaryota; Viridiplantae; Streptophyta; Magnoliopsida; Lamiales; Oleaceae.
GCGGGAAAUUGGAAUCCCUUUUGUGGAUUAUUCAUAUACACAAGUCGGCAGAUUGGAGGAGGCUGGAAAUUAAGUGCUGAACACGUAAAGUCCGUGGCUGUUAGGGAUUAUCAUAUAUUUAGACAGAAAAAACGGCAGCUUUGGAGAUUAGAAUAAAAUUGGUGGGCUGUCGGAAGUUGGAAAAAUUAUAAGCACACAUCGAAGCCGCAGCUGGGGAGAGAGACAUUGGGCGGCUGUUUCUGGGAAAUAAAAAAGGGCAGCAAGACAUUUACACACACAGAAAAUACAGAAACAGGUGGCGGAAAAUUGAAAAAAAAGAGACAGAAUUACGCACCGCAAUUGAAGGAGAUGGCAGAGACACGAGAUGGACGACGAACACGGGAAAAAAGAAUUCCAAAUUGUCAUGCGUUUAAAAUCAAUCUAUCAUUCUGUGAAAAAUUGGAAAAUUAAUCAUGUUCCAUCAAAUUGUCGAUGAUGCCGUUCCCCUUUUAUUUGUUUAAUUCCGCUGUUAUGUUAGGCUAGGUUUAAAUGUACUAGGAGAUCGAUGAACCUUGUGAUAUAACUUUUUAAUUUCUAGUGUUGACAUCGAAGCCCAUUAUACAACAGUUGAAUGAUUUAUAUACAAUUAAUUGCUUCCAUAA